AUCGAAGACGAUAGAUACCGUCGUA
This 25-nucleotide unclassified non-coding RNA is filed under the name Dictyostelium discoideum. The record is from RNAcentral. Lineage: Eukaryota; Evosea; Eumycetozoa; Dictyosteliales; Dictyosteliaceae.